GAUGAACGCUGGCGGCGUGCCUAAUACAUGCAAGUCGAACGCACAGCGAAAGGUGCUUGCACCUUUCAAGUGAGUGGCGAACGGGUGAGUAACACGUGGACAACCUGCCUCAAGGCUGGGGAUAACAUUUGGAAACAGAUGCUAAUACCGAAUAAAACUCAGUGUCGCAUGACACAAAGUUAAAAGGCGCUUUGGCGUCACCUAGAGAUGGAUCCGCGGUGCAUUAGUUAGUUGGUGGGGUAAAGGCCUACCAAGACAAUGAUGCAUAGCCGAGUUGAGAGACUGAUCGGACAAAUUGGGACUGAGACACGGCCCAAACUCCUACGGGAGGCUGCAGUAGGGAAUCUUCCACAAUGGGCGAAAGCCUGAUGGAGCAACGCCGCGUGUGUGAUGAAGGCUUUCGGGUCGUAAAGCACUGUUGUAUGGGAAGAACAGCUAGAAUAGGGAAUGAUUUUAGUUUGACGGUACCAUACCAGAAAGGGACGGCUAAAUACGUGCCAGCCGCCGCCGUAA
RNAcentral lists this ribosomal RNA (513 nucleotides) under uncultured bacterium. RNAcentral describes it as "partial 16S ribosomal RNA". It matches the Rfam family "Bacterial small subunit ribosomal RNA", at positions 28 to 523 of the family's 1533-position model. The record is from RNAcentral.